Molecule: long non-coding RNA, 671 nt
Organism: Panicum virgatum (switchgrass)
Lineage: Eukaryota; Viridiplantae; Streptophyta; Magnoliopsida; Poales; Poaceae
Exons: 2
Source: RefSeq, a predicted model, not a curated record
CCCAAAACACAACGGGCGGUCGCGACCCGUCAACAUGCAGUGGAUUUUUGCGUUUAGCCCCCCGCGACCCGCAGUAACUCCCGAGUCGUCGCCUGUUUUGUCUACGAGCAACGACCCGUGCUCCGAGGCACGGCGACGGGGAAGGCGACCGCUGUACGGCGUGCUGCGGGGAGAAGACGAGGGCAUGAAUCCGCUGCGCGCGGAGGAAGUUUCUAUACACCAAAGGGCCGAGACCGCGAGCGGCAGUGGCCCAAGGGUCUCUAGCGUGGUAAGGUGCUUGUCAGUGAUGGCUGCAAGAUCUGAAAUUACCAUCACGGUGAGGCUCGGAUGGGCCAAUAGAUAGACCAUGGAGGUAGCUGCGGAGGUUGCGGUGCCGGGGGCGCGAGGAAUCGGCCAGAGGUGAGCUGUGGGCAUGGAACUUUGGCCGGCUGCAGGGAGCUCCGUGGCUUCAACCGUGAUGAGAAAUGACGGGAGAUGGAGAUGCACGGGGAAGAUGAACAGUACAAGCUAGCAAGCAAUGGAUGUUUAGUACUUGUGUGUUCAUGAUUUUGUAAAAUUCACAGUAAAAUAAAUACAGGUCCAAAUAAUCUCAAAUUUGUUUUGUUGGAUCUAUCUUGUGAUGCUUUACAUUUGAAAAAUAUGAAUACCCAUACUACUAUUCUGUGUUUUUA